GUCUCUCCCAAAACCUUCCGACAGUUGUCUCCCUGCGGAAGCCCGAGGACGAGGACGGCGAAGGAGACUCGUUUGGACCCCGAGUGAAAGGGAGGCCCUGUGAGCGUGCUUUUAGUGGAACCUGUACCCAGGCAUCGCCACCAGAGAACAGCUGGCCCAAGCCAUUGGCAUUCCGGAGCCCAGGGGCCAGAUUUGGUUUCAGAAUGAGAGAUCACACCAGCUGAGGCAGCACCGACAGGAAUCUUGGCCCUGGCCUAGGAAACGCAGCCCGCAAGAAGGCAGGUGAAAGCAGAUCGCAGUCACCCGAUCCCAGACCACCCUGCUCCUCCGAGACUUUGAGAAAGAUUGCUUUCCAGGCAUCACCACCCAGGAAGAACUGGCCAGAGAGACAGGCCUCCCAGAGUCCAGGAAUCAGAUUUGGUUUUAGCAUCAGGGCCAGGCAUCCAGGCCAGGGUGGCAGGGCACCCACGCACACUGGCGGCCUGUGCAACGUGGCCCCAGGCGGGUGUCACCCUCCUUCCUCGUCGGUCGCCUUCACCCCCACCGGGGCUUGGACAACAGCACUUCCCGCACCCCGCAUGUCCUGGGCUCCUGGGGCUCCCCCACAGGGUGCUCUCGUGAGCCAGGCAGCAAGGACCAUUGCCCUGCUCCAGCCCAGCCAGGCUGCGCAGGCAGAAGGAAUCUCCCAACUGGUCCUGGCACUCUGGGAUUUUGCCUACGCUGCCCUGGCUCAUCCAGAAGCGGCGCCCUCCAACCCUCAGGUUCCUCGGUGGCCUUCGCACCCCAACAAAUGCCAGGAGGACCAGGACCCACAGAACGGCGGCCUGCUGGGUGCUUGCUCAGUGGGACAGCUUAAACCUGCUCAAGCUGAGUCCAAAGGGUGAGGUGUGCUUGCGCCACACACAUCCUACCCGAGUCCGUGGUGGAGCUGGGGCCAGGGGCCCCAUGUCGCCAGGGCCACGUGGGAACCUGAAGCUGGGGCACCUCCACCUCCAGAGCCCACGCCUCCGGAAGCCUCCGCGUCACAGAAGCAGAUGCAAGCCAUCCAGGCGCCCUCCCAACCGCUCCAGGAGCCGGAGUGCUUGUCUGCAGUCACCUCUAGCCUGUUAGAUGAGCUUCUGUCGACCCCAGAGUUUCAACAAAAGGCACAACCUUUGCUAGAAACGGAGCCGCUGCGGGAGUUGAAGGACUUGGAAAAGCCCGUGUCGCUGGAGCCACUUUUUAUGGAGAAAGUAUGCCGGGCUCUGCUGGAGGCAUUUAU
Molecule: long non-coding RNA, 1261 nt
Filed under: Homo sapiens (human)
Lineage: Eukaryota; Metazoa; Chordata; Mammalia; Primates; Hominidae
Description: non-protein coding lnc-SYT10-4:1
Source: RNAcentral